CGGGUCCUACGGGAGGCAGCAGUGGGGAAUAUUGCACAAUGGGGGAAACCCUGAUGCAGCAACGCCGCGUGAGUGAAGAAGUAUUUCGGUAUGUAAAGCUCUAUCAGUAGGGAAGAAGAAAGACGGUACCUGACUAAGAAGCCCCGGCUAACUACGUGCCAGCAGCCGCGGUAAUACGUAGGGGGCAAGCGUUAUCCGGAUUUACUGGGUGUAAAGGGAGCGUAGACGGCAGGGCAAGUCUGAUGUGAAAGCCCGGGGCUCAACCCCGGGACUGCAUUGGAAACUGUCAGGCUAGAGUGCAGGAG
RNAcentral lists this ribosomal RNA (305 nucleotides) under uncultured bacterium. Its description in RNAcentral is "bacterial SSU rRNA". It matches the Rfam family "Bacterial small subunit ribosomal RNA", at positions 333 to 654 of the family's 1533-position model. The record is from RNAcentral.